GUAGGGAAUAUUGGGCAAUGGUCGGAAGACUGACCCAGCCAUGCCGCGUGCAGGAAGACGGCCCUCUGGGUUGUAAACUGCUUUUAUCUGGGAAGAAAAAGGCCAUGCGUGGCAAAUUGCCGGUACCAGAUGAAUAAGCACCGGCUAACUCCGUGCCAGCAGCCGCGGUAAUACGGAGGGUGCGAGCGUUGUCCGGAUUUAUUGGGUUUAAAGGGUGCGUAGGCGGCUGAUUAAGUCAGCGGUUAAAGACUUCGGCUUAACCGGAGCAGUGCCGUUGAUACUGGUUGGCUUGAGUGUCGGAGGGGUACAUGGAAUUGAUGGUGUAGCGGUGAAAUGCAUAGAUACCAUCAGGAACACCGAUAGCGAAGGCAUUGUACUGGCCGACAACUGACGCUGAUGCACGAAAGUGUGGGGAUCGAACAGGAUUAGAAACCCGUGUAGUCC
RNAcentral lists this ribosomal RNA (444 nucleotides) under uncultured bacterium. RNAcentral's name for it is "partial 16S ribosomal RNA". It matches the Rfam family "Bacterial small subunit ribosomal RNA", at positions 354 to 796 of the family's 1533-position model. The record is from RNAcentral.